Non-coding RNA from Myodes glareolus (Bank vole), 3528 nucleotides. NCBI's taxonomy places the organism in Eukaryota, Metazoa, Chordata, Mammalia, Rodentia, Cricetidae. The record is from RefSeq and is a predicted model, not a curated record.
AGGAAGUGAGGACCAGCAGGGAUGACAGUUUUGGCUCAACACCCAUGCUUUCAAGGCAGCCAGCUCAGGGAACUUCGGGAUCAAUAGCUGCGCCUCUGCCAAGGGCUCCGCCCAGCCCGUCCAUCAGCAGCAAGCUCUGUGCAGCGGAAGGAGUGUUUCUGAGCUUUCUUUCCCUUGGCUCUUCGUGUCAGAGCCUGUCUCGUGCUCGGCUUCAAACACAGUGUCCUUCGUGGGACAAGUCACAACCCUCCGCCGGGCUGCUUCGUGUGCUAGGCUGUGUUAGGACCCACAGAUUUUGAAUUUGCCAUGUUCAUGCACCCGUUUGUGUCUUUCUCCAUCUGUAUCAGUCAUUGAAAGACCUUCCAAGGAAUUAACAAGACGACUCUUGCUGAACCUUGAACAAGGGAUUUCAGAUUUGCCCUGGUGGAUUUCAGAUCUGCCGCGGCAGGCAGAACCAGCGGUAUCUAUUUGGUUUCUCUGAUGGGCCUGUAACCUUUUCCUCGAUCUAAGAAGGGGGGAAAGCAAGCGCCCAGAUUGGGGUGAAGGAUUGGACUGUGAGUGGGGUGUGGGGUGCCUUUCUCUGGCUCCACGCAUAGUGUUGGAGCCAUUUGAAGAGAGCAAAGCUGGUCAUGUUUCUGUGAAGUCAGCUGCGAGUCUCUGGUAUGACUGUAGAAUGGUGGUUGGACAAGAGACACCCAAACACGCGGGGCUGUCCCUCGGGUGCCCCGUAGUUGUAUAACGCAGAACUGAAGAGAUGGCUUUUCCUAUGGCCGAGGAAAGCAGCCCCGGGGAACCUGGCCGCUUUGAGAAUAGCAGCCUGAGAUGCAGCAGCCUUCAUCUGGCCAGGGACCUGGUGGAGCGUCACAGCCGACCAUAACACUAACCGCUUAAGAUCACUUCUAUUUGGAAGAAUGCAUUGGGUCCAGUGUGCUGACAGCAUCGAAUAGGAUUGGAUUUAUUUGUCAGCAAAAUAAUGUGACCAUUGCUCAUGUCACACCACCAAGUGAUGAUCCCCGAGUUCCUUUUGAGAAACCUAGCACAAGCUUCUUGUCCUUUUGGCUAAGAAACCCAGGAAUGUGGACAAGAGAGGAGACACUGGUCCUGCUUCCCAGGUUUCCCUGAUGAACUCCACAUGCUAAUCUGCCCUGGGCCUCACACAGGGAGCAACUUAUAGCCGGCUAAAUCGAUAAGCAGGAGAGGUCUUCCUCCGAAGAAGGAAAUCACACUUUGGCUUUUACUCCCUCAAGGUACCAUGCUGUGACUGAUACCACUGGGCUUCUGCACUUGAAGACAUUGACAUCAGUUGAGACUGUUCAUGUUUUCAACACUUCAAAUAGAUCCAAUUAUCCAGGCUUGAUUGGAGCUGGGAACCUGUGACUGUGAUGUAAGAAGCUGGCAGAGCGGAGAGUUUACAAUGAUUCUCCUUCAGACCCAAGCUGAACAGAAUUCUAUUGGCUAGACGGCCAUACUUUCAUUGUCCAUUCAUCUACUGAUAGACAAGUAGGCGAUUUCCUUUUCCUGGCUGUUGAGGAUACAGCAGUGAAGAACAUGAUGAGCAGGUAUCGGCCUCCGCUGCAGGAUAUCGAUCAUCUGAGUAUAUGCCCAGGAGUGGUAUAGCUGUACCGUAGGACAGACCUACUUACAGCUUUUUGAGGAACCUAAACACUGAUUUCCAUAAGUGACUGCACCAGCUUGCACUCCCACUAAUAGUGAACAAGUGUUCCUCUUUUCAAAACCCUCUCCAGCAUUUGCUAUAUUUAUUUAGAUUCUUUAACUCAUUAAACUGAAUGAAUUCAUUCAUAUAGAGCAAGUCUCACUGGCAAAGUCGCAUCACUGGCAUGGUUCUUAAGACCACACGACAAGUAGAGCCCACAGACAGAACAGUACUAUGGGGACCGUCGCUGACCUCCAUCUUAACUCAUUGAGAAGUGUAAAACAAAAGGAGAAAAGGAAGUAAGAUAGCCAGAGCUGCUUCUGGUCCCUGAGGCUGAAGCACUGAGCGCAGGAGAAUCCGCGGGGCUGCUCUUUCCAUAGACUGUGUGACGACCACUCUUUCUUACUUGUUUGUUUUUGAUUUUGUUUUGUUUUUCGAGACAGGAUCUCUCCGUAGUUUUUGGAGCCUGUCCUGGAACUCACUCUGUAGAUCAGGCUGGUCUCGAACUCACAGAGAGCCACCUGCCUCUGCCUCCUGAGUGCUGGUAUACUCCACCAGCACAUUAAAGGUGUACGCCACCCGUGCCUGACUACGCCACCCGUGCCUGGUUACACCACCACCGCCUGGCAGACGACUGCUCUCUUUCGUCAGUUCUUCUAUGUGUGGAAACAACUACAGGACAAGCGCUGGGCACUCCUAUAAGGAAUUUUCUUGAUCAGAUUAUUCAAAGUGGGAAGACCCACCCUAGUGUGGGCUGCACCUUCUUCCUGUGGCAGCUGAGGCAGGAGGUGGAAGACGAAGGGGGUUUUAGCCCAUCUUUCUGUCUCCUUGCCUGGUUGAUGAACUCUCCCUGGCCAGCUCACCAAACAUGUUUGCUUCUACUGCUACAUUCCUUUGUCCAGUGUUUACAACCCAACUUUGAGCUUCAGUGUGGACGGAAGACCAGUGGUUUUCCAGGAACCUUCUAGGCCUUCAGCACCGGAUUUGACUGCUGAGACAUUGAGCCCUGUGGACAAACAUCUACAGGAUUCUGGGCCUCUCCAUUGUGAGACAGUCAUUGUUUGAUUACCUGGACCAUACCGUGUAAGCUGGGCUAAGGACUCCUCUUUCAGUAGAUAUUCAUUCUAUCGGUUCUGCUCCCUCAGAGGAACAUGACUGAUACAGACUGCGUCUCUAGCUGCUAAUUCAAGGAAUCAAGCAACCAAGUGGAUUGAAUUCUCAUUCUUCUCACACAAGAGGAAUAGGAGGGGUCCAGUAUGAAGAAAACUGUCUUUGACUUGGUGGCUCUGCUCCUCUGUGUAUAGCGUGGGUGUUUGGCUGCUCAAAUUGGCUCCUCGUUCCAUAUCUUGUCAUGGGCAUGUGGGCCAGAGCUAAGCAUCAGUCAUGUUUCCUGACUGCCACCUAUGUGCCAGCUCUCUGCUGUUUGCUUCGUUCGCCUUUGUCUGCACAGCCCUUUAAUUCAGCCCAACACAGGUCUUUACAACGGGGCCGCCAUUGUUACUGCUUAGGAUUGAGUGAUGAUGGCCUUGCUGUCUGCUCAGUGGCAGCCUAAAGGUCUCACAGUAAGCGCAUGCCUUACUCUGAUACUGGAUUAUGUUCUUUUUUAUUGUCUUUCUAAACAUUGGUCUCACUUUGUAACCCAGGCUGACUUUGAACUUUCAGUCAUCUUCCUUUACCUGUGCAUUGUUGGAAUUACAACGUGUGCCACCACCCCUGGAUCUGGAACUGAAUUACGUCGCAAGGAAUCUGAGCUUACUUACACUUAUAUCCUCUUGAUUUUCUGGGUUUUUUCUUUUCUUCUUCUCUUCCUUCUUUCUAAGCAGUGUUUCUUCAUCUUGUAGUCCUGGCUGCCCCGGAACUCCCUCUGUAGACCA